GGGGUUUUAAGUGUUUUAUUUGUCCAUUUGGAAUGAUUAGUAUUUAUAAUCAACAACAUAAAUCCACCCCUCAGUGAAAGACCCGACAGCUUGUUAUUACCAAACAUAUUACAGCCUGCUGAAGGGUGAAGAAUUACAGACAUAAAAAGAUGAAUAACAUUAUAUCACCAUUAAAUCACUUACUCUGUUCAUAACAGUUUAAUCGUCUAACAGUAUAAAUUAAGAUUAGGAAGAAAAAAAAAAAUCAACACUUCCAGUGAUAAAAUACAUUCUGUUUAGUACACAAUGUAACAGUACAGUUUAUUACGCUAGUGCAUUAAAAGGCAAAAAAAAUGGACAGCUGCUUUGGAAUAACUGCUUCAUUGCUCAUCUCUCUCUUACACAAACACUGCUUGCAGCCACACAAGCUACCAGGAAGUCUCCAAGAAGUAUCCUACUAGGAAAAUCCAUCACAGUUAAAAAGUUUAAUCGAGAACUACUUCUCCUCUACUCAUAUUACUUGAAUAUGAGGACAUAAAAUUAGAUUCCUUCACAUCUGGAGUUACCAGUGACAUCUCUUCUGAAAUCAAGCAAGUAAUGAACAGAUUUGCAUCCAUACUUCAACCAUCAAAUGAAACCGAAGUGGAAAAACAGCGUUCAUUUUUCACCCAGUUAAGUUACUUAAUACUUGGAAGCCUUCUACAGAGUUUUAAAGUUUAGUGGUUUGAACCAUUUUUCAAGGUUACUAGCAUGUAUGAAAGUUGCAUGUAUGAAUGAUUCAUAACCAAUCAAUAGCAGUAUAACAGCUAAAAAAUAAAACAGUUUUACUUAUUAGAGAUGGAAUUCUUAGAACUCUUCUCCAAAAGCUAAUUUGGAAAAUAACCUUUAUAAAAGUUUUACAGUAAUGAUUUAUAUUACAUUAAUUCUGCAUUAGAUGACAACUUUGAAGACUAAAGUUAACACUGGAAUCAGCCUUCAAAAUAAAGUGGAUCAGAUAUUAAUCUGUAUAAAUCAAAGUAUACUGCAAAUCUGUUUCUCAAGAUAUUGCCUGCUACAGACAGCCUCAUACAGCUAUUAGUGUCCUGUCAAGCAUGUGGAACUACUUGCUUGUCAAUUACACAGGAUGUGAAUGUGAAAAGUAGAGGGACACAGGCAGCAUGUUUUGUUAUGGCAACCAACAUCAUCUUCAUACAAAAUGACAAACAGCAAACAGGAAAAUUCAGAGGCCAACUGAAUUUGGAGUGUGUGUGAUGAAAAUCUCAUUCAGUACCUCAUUAUAUCCUCAAUAUUCUCAGUCCUUUUUAUUUUUUCUUCUUUUGUAGCACAAAACAAACAACAAAAAAACACAAAACAACCAAAAAGAAGAAAAAAAAAAAACCCUAACAAAAAAAAGAAACACAACCCAAAAAAAACCAAACCAAACAAACGCCCCCCCAAACCAAAACCCAGACCCACAAACAAUGAAGCAACAGCAAAACAGAAUCCCUUAUUUCCCAAGGAUCUGAAAUUCCCUCUGAACUUCACUCCGAGAUGCCUAGGAGAAGUUUAAAACCAGACACUAUUGUGUCAAUCUGACUGCCUGCCACACUAAACAAUUCUGUCUACAUCCACCUGCUGUCACUUACGUUAUGAAUAGAUUGCAAGCUCUUAUGGGCAAAGUCUGGCGUUUUAAUUUUCUUUUAUACCAGGAUGUGAUAGUAUCCAUAUCUCCUCUGUGCUACAGUAAUUUCUUAAGCUAAAUAAAAUUAUUACGCUUUAAUUAUUUUCUGCUCUAACCUUCAGAUCCAUCAAAAGUGAGAGAUGGCUGCCCAAAUUACUAGGAACAAAAGGCCACGUUUUCCACACAUGAUCCAACAUGAAAGUAAGCACUCUGCUUGCCAGCAUCCAUGAUGCAGAGUUGUUAUUCUUUGCACCAUGCAAAAAAACCUGCAAGGCUAUCAUUAACAAACUGCAAGUUAUGGUUUCUUUUCAUCCAUUUCAACCGUUUCACUGGAAAGAAGAGGUAGUUCAGACGUAAGGCACAUCCUGCACUGCCUGAUCAGCCAUAUGGCACAUUUCCAUUCCACUGAAAAUAAUAUGAUCUAUUUAAGGGCUGGGAAUGAAAGUUAGAAGAAGGAAUCAGGAAAAACUAAUCAAAUGCACUUGGAGUAUUGUACUAUCUAGCCUCAGACUGCAGCAGAAAAACAGGCAAAACAUC
This 2176-nucleotide long non-coding RNA is filed under the name Strigops habroptila (Kakapo). RNAcentral describes it as "lncRNA (ENSSHBG00005003841.1)". Lineage: Eukaryota; Metazoa; Chordata; Aves; Psittaciformes; Psittacidae. The record is from RNAcentral.